CUAGCUACAGGCUUAACACAUGCAAGUCGAGGGGCAUCAGGAAGAAAGCUUGCUUUCUUUGCUGGCGACCGGCGCACGGGUGAGUAACACGUAUCCAACCUGCCCUUUACUCGGGGAUAGCCUUUCGAAAGAAAGAUUAAUACCCGAUAGCAUAAUGAUUCCGCAUGGUUUCAUUAUUAAAGGAUUCCGGUAAAGGAUGGGGAUGCGUUCCAUUAGGUUGUUGGUGAGGUAACGGCCCACCAAGCCUUCGAUGGAUAGGGGUUCUGAGAGGAAGGUCCCCCACAUUGGAACUGAGACACGGUCCAAACUCCUACGGGAGGCAGCAGUGAGGAAUAUUGGUCAAUGGGCGCUAGCCUGAACCAGCCAAGUAGCGUGAAGGAUGAAGGCUCUAUGGGUCGUAAACUUCUUUUAUAUAAGAAUAAAGUGCACCAUGUAUACUGUUUUGUAUGUAUUAUAUGAAUAAGGAUCGGCUAACUCCGUGCCAGCAGCCGCGGUAAUACAGAGGAUCCGAGCGUUAUCCGGAUUUAUUGGGUUUAAAGGGAGCGUACGUGGACUGGUAAGUCAGUUGUGAAAGUUUUGCGGCUCAACCGUAAAAUUGCAGUUGAUACUGUCAGUCUUGAGUACAGUAGAGGUGGGCGGAAUUCGUGGUGUAGCGGUGAAAUGCUUAGAUAUCACGAAGAACUCCGAUUGCGAAGGCAGCUCACUGGACUGCAACUGACACUGAUGCUCGAAAGUGUGGGUAUCAAACAGGAUUAGAUACCCUGGUAGUCCACACAGUAAACGAUGAAUACUCGCUGUUUGCGAUAUACAGUAAGCGGCCAAGCGAAAGCAUUAAGUAUUCCACCUGGGAGUACGCCGGCAACGGUGAAACUCAAAGGAAUUGACGGGGGCCCGCACAAGCGGAGGAACAUGUGGUUUAAUUCGAUGAUACGCGAGGAACCUUACCCGGGCUUAAAUUGCAGUGGAAUGAUGUGGAAACAUGUCAGUGAGCAAUCACCGCUGUGAAGGUGCUGCAUGGUUGUCGUCAGCUCGUGCCGUGAGGUGUCGGCUUAAGUGCCAUAACGAGCGCAACCCUUAUCUUUAGUUACUAACAGGUUAUGCUGAGGACUCUGGAGAGACUGCCGUCGUAAGAUGUGAGGAAGGUGGGGAUGACGUCAAAUCAGCACGGCCCUUACGUCCGGGGCUACACACGUGUUACAAUGGGGGGUACAGAAGGCAGCUAGCGGGUGACCGUAUGCUAAUCCCAAAAGCCUCUCUCAGUUCGGAUCGAAGUCUGCAACCCGACUUCGUGAAGCUGGAUUCGCUAGUAAUCGCGCAUCAGCCACGGCGCGGUGAAUACGUUCCCGGGCCUUGUACACACCGCCCGUCAAGCCAUGGGAGCCGGGGGUACCU
RNAcentral lists this ribosomal RNA (1392 nucleotides) under uncultured organism. RNAcentral's name for it is "SSU rRNA". It matches the Rfam family "Bacterial small subunit ribosomal RNA". The record is from RNAcentral.